This 1162-nucleotide long non-coding RNA is filed under the name Mus pahari (shrew mouse). RNAcentral describes it as "predicted gene 13830 (MGP_PahariEiJ_G0005309.1)". Lineage: Eukaryota; Metazoa; Chordata; Mammalia; Rodentia; Muridae. The record is from RNAcentral.
GGGCGAUGCGCGGCACGCGUGCAGAGGCCCACACACACAGAAGGCGGAGCCCCCGGGUGGAGUGGCUGGCUCCCGGACCACCCAGCAGUCUGGAAGGCGGUGAGGGCGGGGCAUCUUCCGCUCGGGGAGGCCCAUCCACUGAGGUUAGCGCAGGGUGUGUUCUGGAAUCGCAGGUUCUAGAAGGCCGGGAGCCGCCGCCCCAGGUGCCGCCCAUUUCCACCCCUCCCACCCCCAGCCCGGGGUCCGCAGGAUUUACGGGAUUUACGGCCUGGAGCUUAGCAAGGGCGAGCGACCGAUGCAGUUGCACUCAGGGUCUCUCUCUUGGGCUUGGUUCGAACCUCUGCUGUCUCAUUCCUGAAGUUUGUAAGUGCGUGCGUGUCUGAGGAGGCCCUGGCCUUGAGAGGCAAGUUCUAGGUUCUGCCACUGAACCCUGUUUCCUUUCUUUUUCCGUUUUUUUUUUUUUUUUUUUUCUGCCCGUGGCCUCCCCACCCUACCUUAGCCCCAUCUCCCUAGGUAGCCCCAGGAUGAUCUAAACUUCGCAGUUCUUCUUGGCGCCUCCCCCAUGCGCCAUCACACCAGGUGAAAUUCCUAAUUUUAUAACAUGACACUACAUGCUUAUUUCGUACUGUCGUUGCCCCUGUGUAGCUGCCCUAGAAGACUGUAUACAUACUGAUAACCUAAUGAUUGAAGGGGAGAUUCGGGAAAGGGAUCAUCUCCGGAUGGUGGAGCCUGUCUGCCAGGCAGUGGGAACCUCGGGAUCUGGAAUGUGGGUGGAUGCUGAGUACAGGUGAGGCUUCCUCAAAUAGGCGGUCCAUUUGGGCAAAGUUUCUUGGCUGACGAUUUAUUUAGACAAAGGAAUACGUAUCUUAAGGAAGUGAUCCUCAGAGGUGUCUCCUCUGGCAUUUAUGACUAAUCGUACCUACAUAAUAAAUUAAAUAAAUAGAUAGAAAUAACAAAGUCCUGGGCUACCGCUCAGUCGGUAGAGCAUUUGCUUGGUCUGAGUGAGGCCAGAGGUGGCAUAUUUGAUUCCCCAGCAGGCUCUGGGAGGGAGUCAGAGCACGGGGAGAUGGGAACAGAAGGAUCAGAAAUUCAAGUCCAGCUUUGGAGAGAUGACACCAAGGCUAGCCUGGGCUACAUGAGAUCCAGCGUAAAUUGGCCCCCU